AUCCACAAUUGUAUUGUCUCUAACUACUCCUUCAUCAUUUAUCUACUAAAAAAACUUCUAAUAUAAUCUCCAACCUUCAACAUUCACCACCAAUCAUCCAACAAAUUCAACCAUCCAACAAACAUUUCCCAUUCCUUUGCUAAUCAUUUCAUCCAUCACAUUGAAAAUCCUUGCACCUCGAAAGGAGAUGUUUGUCUUCUAAAAUAGAAUUAAUAGGUAAGCAGCAUAAA
RNAcentral lists this long non-coding RNA (230 nucleotides) under Salvia miltiorrhiza (redroot sage). RNAcentral's name for it is "long non-coding RNA (SMIL_LNC000954)". Lineage: Eukaryota; Viridiplantae; Streptophyta; Magnoliopsida; Lamiales; Lamiaceae. The record is from RNAcentral.